AAAGGUUUAUGCUUAUGGUUUAGUUUUUCAUUAGGGUUUAAGGUUUUAGGGUUUAGAGAUUAAGGUUUAAGUUUAUUUUUAGGGUUUUAGGUUUAAGGUUUAUAAUUUAUAAUUUAUAAUUUAAGGUUUAAAGUUUAGGUUUACUGUUUAGGUUUUAUGUUUAGGGUUUGUAGUUUUAGUUUAGGGUUUAGGGUUUAGUUGGAAUUUAAUUGUUGGGUUUUUUGUUUUUGAUUUUAGUUUUAGGGUUUAAGUUUUAGUAUUUAUAAUUUAGGAUUUAUGGUUUAUAUUUAGGGUUGAUGGUUGGAGCUUAGGGUUUAUAAUUUAAGUAUAGGGUUUAGUUUUUAUGUUUAUGGUUUGUGAUUUUGGUUUUAGGGUUUAAUGUUUAGUAUUGAGGAUUUUGGUUUAUAUUUUGUGUUUAAAAUUAGGGUUUAAGGUUUAUGGUUUAUGAUUUAAAUAUAUGGUUUAAUGUUUAGGUUUAAUUUUUGUGAUUCUAUAUUUAGGGUUUAUAAUUCCUAAUUUAUUAUAUAUAUUUAGUGUUUAGGGUUUAAGAUUAUAGUUUUAGGGUUUAUGUUUAAUUAUAAGGUUGAAGGUUUAUUUUUAUGGUUUUAAGGUUUAGGGUUUAGGGUUUUACUUUAAGGUUUAGUGUUUAGUGUUUGAGGUUAUGGUUUAGGAUAUAAUUAGGGUUUAUGCUUAUGGUUUAGUUUUUGUUAGGGUUUAGGGUUUAAAGUUUAGGGUUUGUGUUUAGUGUUUAGGGUUUAACGUUCGAGUUUAGGUUUAUUAUUUAUAUAUAAGUUUUAGGGUUUCUAGUUUUAUCUUAGGUUUUUAUUUUAAGGUUUAAGGUUUUGUGUUUCUGUUUAUGGUUUAUGAUAUAAUGAGGGUUUAUGUUUAGGUUUUAAGGUUUUUAAUUCUAGUUUUAGGGUUUAUAUGUAUAUUUUAUUAUUUGUGAUUAGGGUUUAGUGUUUAAGGUUUAGUUUUUAGGAUUUAGGAUUUAUGGUUUAUAUUUAAGGUUUAUUGUUAAGUUUAGGGUUUAUAGUUUAUCAUUUAGGGUUUAGUUUUUACUGUUUGAGAGUAUGGUUUAUGGUUUAAGGUUUAAUUUUAGGGUUUAAGGUUUUAGAGUUUCAAGGUUUAAGCUUUGGUAGUUUAAUUUUAGGGUUUUAAGAUUUAGAGUUUAUUAUAUAAUUAUAGUGUUUAUGGUUUACGUUUAGGGAUUAAGGCUUAUGAUUUGUGUUUAGCUUUUGAGUUUAUAUUUAGGGUUUUAGGUUUAAGAUUGAUAAUUUAUAAUUUAUAAUUUAGGGGUUUGUAGUUUUAGUUUAAGGUUUAGGGUUUAGAGUUUAAGGUUGAGAAUUUAAUUCUAGGGUUUUUAUUUGUGAUUUUAGUUUUAGGGUUUAAGGUUUAGUAUUUAUCAUUUAGGAUUUACGGUUUAUAUUUAGGGUUGAUGGUUUGAGUUUAGGGUUUAUAAUUUAAUUGUAAGGUUUGGUGGUUUAGGGUUUAUGAUAUAAUAAGGGUUUAUGUUUAGGGUUUAGGGUUUUUAAUUCUAGUUUUAGGGUUUAUAUGUAUAUUUUAUUAUUGGUGAUUAGGGCUUAAGGUUUAUUUUUUAGGAUUUAGGAUUUAUGGUUUAUAUUUAGGUUUUAUUAUUUAAGUUUAGGGUUUAUAGUUUAUCGUUUAGUGUCUAGUUUCUAAUGUUUGAGUUCAAGGUUUUUGGUUUAAAGUUUAAUUUUAGGGUUUAUGGUUUUAGGGUUUAAGAUUUGGUAGUUUAGUUUUAGGGUUUUAAGAUUUGAGGUUUAUUGUAUAAUUAUAGUGUUUAUGUUUACAUUUAGGGAUUAAGGCUUAUGAUUUGUGUUUAGGGUUUAAGUUUAUGUUUAGGGUUUUAGGUUUAAGGUUUAUAAUUUUAAUUAAUAAUUUAGGGUUUAAAGUUUAGAUUUAGUGUUUAGGUUUUAUGUUUAGGUUUUAUAGUUUUAGUUUAGGGUUUAAGGUUUAGAAUUUAAUUGUCGUGUUUUUUGUUUCUGAUUUUAGUUUUAGGGUUUAAGUUUUAGUAUUUAUAAUUUAGGAUUUAUGGUUUAUAUUCAGGGCUGAUGGUUGGAGUUUAGGGUUUAUAAUUUAAGUAUAGGGUUUAGUUUUUAUGUUUUUGGUUUGUGAUUUUGGUUUUAGGGUUUAAUGUUUAGUAUUGAGGAUUUGUGGUUUAUAUUUUGUGUUUAA
Gossypium raimondii (Peruvian cotton) is the source of this 2196-nucleotide long non-coding RNA. RefSeq lists it as uncharacterized. Lineage: Eukaryota; Viridiplantae; Streptophyta; Magnoliopsida; Malvales; Malvaceae. The transcript has 3 exons. The record is from RefSeq and is a predicted model, not a curated record.